AAAUCGGUCCUUUUCAGGACCACCCCCAAAAAUUAAUAGAGAUUCA
Drosophila persimilis is the source of this 46-nucleotide non-coding RNA. The record is from Rfam. Lineage: Eukaryota; Metazoa; Arthropoda; Insecta; Diptera; Drosophilidae.